Molecule: ribosomal RNA, 442 nt
Filed under: uncultured bacterium
Lineage: Bacteria
Description: partial 16S ribosomal RNA
Rfam family: Bacterial small subunit ribosomal RNA
Source: RNAcentral
CCUACGGGUGGCAGCAGUGGGGAAUAUUGGGCAAUGGGCGCAAGCCUGAACCAGCAACGCCGCGUGAAGGAAGAAGGCUUUCGGGUUGUAAACUUCUUUUUAGGGGGAAGAGCAGAAGACGGUACCCCUUGAAUAAGCCACGGCUAACUACGUGCCAGCAGCUGCGGCAAUACGUAGGUAGCAAGCGUUGUCCGGAUUUACUGGGUGUAAAGGGCGUGUAGCCGGAGAGACAAGUCAGUUGUGAAAUCCACGGGCUCAACCCGUGAACUGCAGUUGAAACUGGUUCCCUUGAGUGUCGGAGAGGUAUUCGGAAGUCGUGGUGUAGCGGUGAAAUGCGUAGAUAUAAGGAAGAACACCAGUUGCGAAGGCAGAAUACUGGACGAUAACUGACGGUGAUGCGCGAAAGCGUGGGGAGCAAACAGGAUUAGAUACCCCUGUAGUG